Molecule: long non-coding RNA, 774 nt
Organism: Homo sapiens (human)
Lineage: Eukaryota; Metazoa; Chordata; Mammalia; Primates; Hominidae
Product: long intergenic non-protein coding RNA 2050
Source: Ensembl
GGCACAGCUGCUUGUGUGUUCUUCCGCCAAUGUGUGCAACUGCUUGUGUGUUCUUCCGCCAAUGUGUUCCUCUCGACGUCCAGCCACUUCUGUGCCUGCCUGCCUGUCUUGGGGUUUUUACAGGCACAGGAUAGGGGACGUGGCAGGCCAGGUGGUCUUGGAAAAUGCAAACUUGGGCAUGAAAACAGGAGCGCUUGUCCUCCCCUAUAUGCGUGUGCACAGGACCUGAGGUGAAGCCCUAGCCAGGGACCUGCCCUUCUCUACCCAGCGCUUUCCUUCUCUCAUCCCGAGUCAGUACUCAUCAUGGAUGGAGAUGGAGCCCAUUAUUUGAAGCAAACUAACACAGGAACAGCAAAGCAAAUACCAUAUAUUCUCACUUAUAAAUGGCAGCUGAACAACGAGGACACAUGGACACAAACAGCAGAACAACAGACACCAGGAGCUACUUGAAGGCUGGGUCAUUGGCCUUAUCCCGCACCGAAGUUGAAACUUACACCAUCUGUUCACAUCAUCAGUUCUUCUGGUUCUCAUGCUUUUGAACUUCAACUGGCACAAUUCCACUGGCUCUCCUUAGUCUCCAGGUUGCAGAUGGCAGAUUAUAAAUCUCCUUAGCCUCCACCUUUAUAAUCCUAACUAUUACUGACACCUCUUUGAGGACAAAGGAAGUAGCUUUCUGCAAGCCAAAAAGACCUCAGAAAAACAACAAAUCUUCCAAACUCUUGAUUUUGACUUUUUGCCUCCAGAAUUGUGAAGAAAUAAAUAUCUGUUAUUUAA